CGCCUGUUUAUCAAAAACAUUUUUGUUUGCGGAAGAGGGAGUUGGCUGCUCGGUGAUAAUAUCAAAGCUGCAGUAUUUUGACUGUGCUAAGGUAGCAUAAUCAUUUGCUUUUUAAUUGGGGGCUGGAAUGAACGGUCGAACUAACUAAGUUUAGUUUGUCAUUCCUUAUAGGAAAUUAAAGUUAAAGUAAAAAUUCUUUAAUGGGCUAAGGGACGAUAAGACCCUAAAAGCUUUACCUGGGGCGGAAGUGGGUAGUGGGCGCUUAGAGAGGGUUUGGCUGGGGCGGUAUUUCUAAGUGAACUAGAAUUUUAUGGUGGGUCCUUUACAUAAAGACAGAGAGUGUUAGUUACUUUAGGGAUAACAGUGCAAUAUGCUUGGAGAGAUCUUAUCGAUAAGCGUGCUUACCACCUCGAUGUUGAAUUAGAAUGUCUGUGCGAGGCAGCGUGUGUGCGAGAGAGUUUGUUCAACUCUUAAAUUUUUACAUGAUCUGAGUUCAAACCGGAG
RNAcentral lists this ribosomal RNA (504 nucleotides) under Chaetogammarus marinus. Its description in RNAcentral is "partial 16S ribosomal RNA". It matches the Rfam family "Bacterial large subunit ribosomal RNA", at positions 1797 to 2621 of the family's 2925-position model. The record is from RNAcentral. Lineage: Eukaryota; Metazoa; Arthropoda; Malacostraca; Amphipoda; Gammaridae.